UACGAAGGGGGCAAGCGUUGCUCGGAAUUACUGGGCGUAAAGCGCACGUAGGCGGUCUUUUAAGUCGGGGGUGAAAUCCUGGAGCUCAACUCCAGAACUGCCUUCGAUACUGGAAGACUUGAGUCCUGGAGAGGUGAGUGGAACUGCGAGUGUAGAGGUGAAAUUCGUAGAUAUUCGCAAGAACACCAGUGGCGAAGGCGGCUCACUGGCCCGGUACUGACGCUGAGGUGCGAAAGCGUGGGGAGCAAACAGG
This 253-nucleotide ribosomal RNA is filed under the name uncultured bacterium. RNAcentral's name for it is "partial 16S ribosomal RNA". It matches the Rfam family "Bacterial small subunit ribosomal RNA", at positions 524 to 776 of the family's 1533-position model. The record is from RNAcentral.